Molecule: ribosomal RNA, 405 nt
Filed under: uncultured bacterium
Lineage: Bacteria
Description: bacterial SSU rRNA
Rfam family: Bacterial small subunit ribosomal RNA
Source: RNAcentral
UUAGGAAUCGUACACAAUGGACGAAAGUCUGAUGUCGUGACACCGCGUGAAGGAUGAAGGUUUUCGGAUCGUAAACUUCUUUUAUAUGGGAUGAUUAUGACCUUACCAUAUGAAUAAGCAUCGGCUAACUCCGUGCCAGAAGCCUCGGUAAUACGGAGGAUGCGAGCGUUAUCCGGUCUUAUUGGGCGUAAAGAGCAUGUAGGCGGUUUUGUAAGUCUAAUCUUAAAUCCCACGGCCCAACCGUGGAACUCGGUCAGAUACUGCAUAACUUGAGGAAUUGCAGGGGUAAGCGGAAUCUACGGUGUAGGGGUAAAAUCCAUUGAUAUCGUAGAGAACACCAAUGGCGAAGGCAGCUUACUAGGCAUUACCUGACGCUGAGAUGCGAAAGCGUGGGGAGCGAACGGG